AAGACUAUAGACCUGCGGAGUACCUGCGGAGGGAUCGUUAACGUUGGGGACUAACAAUCCCUCAGCGAGAUAGAACCCUUGCCUUUUCGAGUACCACACGUUUCCUCGGCAGGUACGCCUGCCAAUGGGGACCACAACAAAACCUUUUGUAAUAGCAGUAAACGUCUUAAAAACAAAACUUUUAAAACUUUCAACAACGGAUCUCU
This 206-nucleotide unclassified non-coding RNA is filed under the name soil metagenome. Its description in RNAcentral is "partial contains 5.8S ribosomal RNA, internal transcribed spacer 2, and large subunit ribosomal RNA". The record is from RNAcentral.